CAGCCAGCAGGAAGGAGGAAAGGGGAAUGCACACGCCUUUUAAGAGAUGACCUGGAACUUGCUUCUAGUCAAAAGAGAGUCAUAAAUCCACUGGUGGCUUCAAGAAAGGCUAAGAAAAUUUCGCACUGAGCCUCACACAGUAUGUCCUGGGCCAUGGUGGCCAGUGGCCGCAUUACUCCACCGAAGGCCGCAAUUCCUGACAGACAGAGAGAGACGAGGAUAAUGGACACCCACGUACCUACUCUCCUGCUUCAACAGUGCUUCUUUCACUCCUUCGGAGGGUGCCAUUUGUUUCCUGUGGGGAUCCUGGCUGAUGGAGGACCUUCCUGUGCCUUUUGACUGUUCACUACAGCCUCUCCUCAACAGGGAGCAGCAAAUUGGCAGCUUAUUUCUGAAAACAACCGAAUGGACAUUAUCCCACAGAUUAAAAUGGAGGAAGUGAUUUUAGACAACUUCCCUGCC
Molecule: long non-coding RNA, 462 nt
Organism: Zalophus californianus (California sea lion)
Lineage: Eukaryota; Metazoa; Chordata; Mammalia; Carnivora; Otariidae
Exons: 3
Source: RefSeq, a predicted model, not a curated record